CUUAGGGCGCUACCAUUUGAUUUUUAUGGGGGGCUAGGAUGAAAUUUGAAAAAAAUAGGCAGGACAGGAGUUUUGAGUAAAAAAAAAAAGGCAGGAUGAGACAAUUGCCAAAAAAAAAAGUCAGGACGUCAAUUCAGGUAAAAAAAAAGUCAGGAUAAACUAAAAACAAUAUAACAAUCAAAUGGUAGCUCCCUUAUUUUAUAGUGGCUCUGUGUUGAUCUUGUGGUAAGGUUGUUUAAUUAUUAAACGGUCGACUCUAUAGAAGUAAAACAAAUAUAUCACUGUUUUAGAUUCAUCUAUAACGCUCUGGGUCAUACAAUAGAACGGUCAGUAUGAACAGUCGCAUGCAUAUACAAGGUCAGCUUUAUAACAAAACGGAUCUUGAAUACAAAUGAAUAUCUAGUUGGUCUUCGAACUGCAUAUUGUAAGAAAAGUUCCACAUUAUGAAACAAAAUGAAAUGGUUGGUAUCUUGGUCUACCGGGUACCCACGUUCCGAAUGUAAUAUUAAAUCUUGCAUAUAUUGGUCUUUGUACCUUUAAAGCCAUACCGUCAUUUUAUAGUCAGUUUACUUUCAGUUUAUCGGGAUAUUUAACUUCAAAGUGUAUAUGUUACAGUAAAUAGGUGAAAUUAGGAAUUACAUGUAAUUACUAAAAUUUAGGAAUUACAUGUAAUGCCCGAUGCACUUAGUAAAUACAAGUAAUUCCUGAAACGGCCUAGUUAUUACCAGUAAUAACUAAUUUUUAAAUGAAUUUUUACACCUAUUUACUAACUGUUAAAAUAAUGUUGUAAUGUGGUCAGCUGAUCAAAAGUUAGGGUAAUACUAACAAUAGAAGAUCAUUGAGCAUUCUUAAAAAGUGAUCAGCCUAAAAUGUACCUUUUUGUUAUAGGACUAUUAGCUACAAGAUAUAAAAAAAAAAUUGAUUUUUUUGUUAAAUCAUUAAUGAAAAUGUUAUUGUAAAAUUAUAAUUCACUUUUCAAUCCGGAUCUAUCUUACUGAAAUAAGCUGAGAAACCUGGUUGGUGAGUUGUGCACUUGAAUAUGUUUCCAUGUGACCCUCAAUUCAACUCCUAGCUGUAGAUAGGUUACUGAUGCAUUCAGAUUUAAAAUUGUAAGGGUUUUGCGGAACCAAGUAUAUCAUCUACUUUUGCUGUUAGUCGCAGGCUCAACAAAAAUGGGAAAAAAAUAUUUAAAAUUUUCCUCCAGAUACCAUCUUUUGUCUAGUACUGUAAGAAGCUUCUGUCAAAAUUUGGUUAAAAUCCAGGAUGGUUUUUGAAAUCUGAUAAAUGUUUUAAGAACACUUUAACCGCAGAGUGUAUGUAAUGUUAACUGGAGAAGAAAAAAAAACGAAGUCCAUUUAUAAGGAAUAUACGAAAAAGGAUUUUUUUUCAAACUUUACUUCUGGAUAUUAUCUUAUGAUCAUAAGCAAGUUUCUGUCCAAGUUUUAUAGAAACCCAGGAUAGUUUGAGAAAGUUAUUAAAUUUUAAAAAACUAAGUCUAUUUAUAAGUAAAAUACGAAAAAAAUUUAUUUUAUUUUUACAAAAUUUACUUCUUGAAAAUUAUUUUAUGAUCAUCAACAAGCUUUUGUUCAAGUUUGGUAGACAUCCAGGAUACUUUAAGAAAGUUAUUAAAAUUUAAAAAACUUUAACCACAUAGUGAAUAUUUGUGGACGCUGUUGACGACAAAAUGGUUUGCUAUGUCUCGCUUUUGCAUCAAAAGUCGCAGGCUUGACAAAAGGAAACAGAAUGACAACAUUGAAAGUAAAAUAAAAGAGAUGAACCAUUUAGUUAACUUAUUCAAUCCACAAAAAGAUGAUUCUUAUACAAGUAAAAACGAUGAUAACAAAUUGUUGCAGGUAUUAUACUUUAAUUUGGAGGUCUUGAAAAACUCAUAAAAAAAAGAAACACAUAAAAAUGAAAUGUGACACUUAACACCAUCAAAUUGUAUAAAUUUGUUUGUAAAGAAUGACGCUUCAUCGCAACAGUCUGAAAAAAAGUCGGAAAUAAACCUAUUUUGUAAAAGGAAUUCAACUUAUGUCAUUGGGCAAGUGUAUAUGCAAAGUAUGCUUGAUGGAGAUUUAAAUUCAAAGAAAUUAUGAGAUUUUAAGAAUUAUCAAGAUUAUUCAACCAAAUUUGGCAUUAUCGAAUGUCGAUCAACAAAAAGAGGUGGCGAAGUUGUUUAUAAACUUCUCACAAAUUGUUUUUCAAUUUUGUAUGGAUAUCAUUGUCUUGCAUGCUGAAAAUGAGUUUCAGGGAGUUUCAAAACUUUAAAAACAACCAUUUUCCAGUUUCAGUUCACAAACACUACAGAGUAUACACUUUUAUUGUACCUUAUAUUCCUUUAUCCUUAAUUAAGUAGGCCCUAAAAUACCUACCCUUUUCUUUUUUAUUUUGUAUCUUGAAUUGUAUCUUUAAUUUAAAAAAUUAAAUUAAAUAUCAAGUUAGUAAAUAGCUGUAAAAAUGACAAAAAAAAUCAGUGAAUACCAGUAAUCACUGAAACAACUAGUAAAUACAUGUAAUUACUAAAUUGGCUAGUUAUUACAGGUAUUUACUGAAAUGUUUAGUAAUUACAUGUAAUUCCUAAUUUCACCUAUUUACUGUAACAUAUAUAUGGCCCGUAUGCAUUAUAAAGCUGCUUAAGUUAAGAUUUGUUCUGAACGGACGGAUUUUUCUAAAUGUCCUACCAUAAAUUUAGUACGUAUACUACGAUUGUACUUCUUAAGUUAGUUUUAUGCAUAAAAGUCCUGGAUGCUUGUUCGUUGUCUUCAUCUUCUGUAGUAUAUAAUUUCCAAUGCAUUUUCAGUAUCUAUUCUUCAUAUUUUAACAAAUCAGUAUACAUGUAUAUAAUUUCCAAUGCAUUUUUCAGUCUCUAUUCUUCAUAUUUUAACAAAUCAGUAUAUUCUCUGUUUUUUAUUUUUUUUUACAUGUUUUCCCUAUUCAGUAAACCCCAACCAGGGUCCUAUAGAAGCAAAUAUCAAGAUAUUGAAACACAUUCUAUUACAUGUUAAUGCAUGUUAACUGAUUAUAUACUCAAAUCAGAUCGUAACUUGUUAGUUUUUCUUGGUUCUCAAAUCUUUACAGCCCACACCACACCUCCUUAAUAGCCAUGCUAUGCACAACAAAUCAUUUUUAUAUGAAUUCUGUAAACCGUCGGACAACAGAAAAUCCAAUAUCUUUGUCAAUCAAUGAAUAAUUUUUCACAACCAGAAUAACCUCUCUUUCAACUUUUAAAAUAUUUUGUCCUUAUUUUUUUCGCAAUAUUUAAUAUUCAUAAUUACUCAUUUCAUUGACGUCAUGUAACUACAAUUGAGAACAUACUGACAAAAAUUUAAACGGGAGAGAUUUUGAUCAACCUUGAGAAAAAAUUGAACAAAUGCCUCCACGGUUCACAGAUUUUUCGUUGAUAUUGAUUAAUUUACACGAACUAUUUCAAAUGGUUUAGUAUGACAAUUAUGUAAUAUGUAAUACUUGUCAUUUCUAAGUCACGUUUGGACUGAAAAUGAGUCUAGGAGUGCAUUUCUUUCGAACGCAAACGAUGCAAACGGCUAAGCGCGCACAAGUUUUGAUCAUUUCUUUUAAACAUACGUUUGCAAAGUUUACACAAACUAUGCACACGCUAAAAAUGCGUCUGCAGUUUGUCGUUUGUUAGAACAAACGCUAUACAUGAAUUUGUUUCUAACUUCAACCUGAUUAAACGAUGUAUUUAUUUCUACGUUUGUAAAAAGUCUGUUUACCUACAACAUGUGCAUGCAUUAUUGAAAUUUCAAACAGUGUCAGUAAAGACUUAUUAAACGAUGUAUUUGUUUCUACUUUUCUAGCGUUUAUAAAACAUCAACAAACGCGACACAACGUUUACAAAAUUUUGGUUAGAAAGAAAUGCACUCUUUGGAGUAAAAAAGUCAAACAAUCUAAACAUUUUAGUACAGAGUCGGUUAAGAGGGGGCAGGGUGCACGUUCUUAUCCUUUUUUUGUAGGGUUGAAUGAAGUUGACUAUAUAGGGAAUCACUAAAGCAUGACUGGAGCGGGCCCCUUCUUAAGCAGUCAGUGACCCACCCUUUAUAAAAUUUCUGGAUCCGCCACUGAAGUGAUAAAGCAAACAUAAUUUAUCUAUUAAUUUUUAUUGGAUAAUUAAGAACUUGCUUUAUUAUAGUGCGCAUAUUGACUCAAGCUUUUUGGAGCUAAUUUUCAUAUUUUCAAAUCAUUAACUGUAUUUUCACGGACGUGUACACCAAGAUGAAAAUAACGUUACGUCAUUGGAUGGAUUUCCAUUGUUUAGAACGUUUUAAAGUAAUCAUAACGUUUUGGUGUACGUUUUUGAAAAUAAUACCCAGAAUGCAUUAGAUUCUGAAAAUGAUAAUUGGAUUCAAGACUAACAUGAUUAUUAUUAAGUUCCAAAAAAACAUUAAGAAACAUGUCUUUCUAACCGGAUAUAUAUAUCUUGUAUUUAAUUCGAUUUAUGUUAAUAUUUAUUUAUUAGAUAAACUUAAUUUAUUUAAUGUUUUUUUCUAGUAAGGUUUAAUAUUUUAACUAUUUAUGGAUAUUAACAAAAAAUGAUGUUUUUCUACCUACAUCCGAGUUUAGUCAGAAUUGUGUGCAGAGAUAGACAAGUUUUCAAUUUAUUCUAACAUAGAUCAGGCAAUAUAUUUGUAACAUUGAAUUCUAGGAAUUAGCAAUGUUUGUCUGUGUGUGGUAUCGUAUACCUUAUACGUAAACUGCCUACGUAACUGUAUAAACCUAAUUAGAAAAGUAUGGUCCUUUUGGUUUUCUUCUGUUUUACUGAGUGGGAUGUAUAAAUACAAAUCCACGUCAGGUCACAAGGGGACGUUAAAUCCAAUGCCUCGUGUGCUAUAUACCUCUAUUUGGUAUCUCUGGUUACGGAAAAGUAGGACAUAAUUUAGCCUGUUUAUGCUAUAUUACGGGACUGGAUACUUUUUUAUGUUUGUCGGCGGCGAACAGUUAGCUUCGUCUGUCAUACAUGUGCUUGUUGAAUGGCUGUAGAAUAAAAUUUAGAUCGAAAAGCGUGACUUCAACCCCAUAGUCCCCCAAGACAACAAGAAGGAUUGAGGCCCAUGACACGUGUAGCGAUAGUAAGACGCUAUCUGUAUAUUAGGAACCCAUACACCAACACUUUGGAGGUCGAUAGGUGGCCGGUUGAAGGGCUAAAUGUCUGUCCCUAUCCAAUAUAUUAAAUAUUCCAGUGACAUUUCAAAUGUUCCUCAUGUCAUUGCAGUCGAACCAAUGUUGUAGAAUAUACUCCUUUUGUAAUUAUUGGUCUCUUCCUGAACUUGCAUGGAUCUUUGUCACUGGAAGUUGAUAUUUAUUACUUUAAGAUAAAUCAAUCUUCUAACGAGCUAUAUUGGAAUAUAUUCCAACUUGGAACAGAAAUUUUGCAUUUCCAUGUGGAGCAGGAUCUGCUCACACUUCCGAAGCACCACGUAUCAUCUCCGGUUUUAUUGUGGGUUCGUGUUAUUCGGUCUUCGGUUUUAAAUUAUAUGUUUUGUUUAGUGUUAUUUGUCUUUCUGUAGUUUUUUCGUAUUUUUUGCCAUGACAUUGUCAGUUUGUUUUCCUUAGAGUAUUAAAUGGUCGCCCACAUGGACAUUACCCUGCUUGUAAAACAACUUCUAGGGAAAUCAAAUCGGGAAAUUAUUCCCAUUGAAACGUUACAACAGGGGCGGCCAGCCAUUUGAAAAAAAGGGUGGGGGGGUCCCAACCCAGGAUAAAGUGGGGGUUCCAACAACAUGCUCCCAUUCAAAUGCAUUGAUCGUCCAAAACAAAAGGGGGAUCCAACCCGCGGAUCCCCCCUGGAUCCGCUACUGGUUACAAUGUCUAUGCCAAAUAUUUAUAACAACACAAUUACCUAACUCUUAUGUAAAUUCAAAGCGAGAAGCACCAAAACCCUACUCGACUAUAUCAACCAGCGAAACAACUGAAAAGUACUGUCGCGUAUGUAAUUUCAAGAAUGUACACACAUCAAAAACACUUUUGAGGUAACAUUUUAUAAAAAGGUUAUUGAUUCUAUAAUACGCCUGUCUGUUUCUUAAUUCUGACGUCACAAUAAUACACAUGUGUACUGUUACAUCAUUAAAUGAUUUAAAUUGAACAGAAAUUUGAAUAAAACAGGUGUUGAAAUAAACAAUUGGUGUCAAUUACUCAUGUAAUUGUCAGAUUGCAUGAAAACAUGCAAUGGUUUUAAAAUCAAAGGGUUAUUAAUCAUUACUAACAUCUAACACAUAACAUGCACACUGCACACAAGCAUGGUACAUUUUAGAUGUUCAAAAAAAGAGCAAUGGCGAACAACAGCUGAAGAUCUCGCGUGAUUAGGCCAACUAAAAUUAAUUAGUAGAUUUUCAUCCCAAUUUUUGAAAAAAAUGGGGCGGGUGGGAGGAUUUUAUUUUUUAAAUUUUAUUUCAUAUGAAACCCUCGUCACGAGUUCUUCAUACCGCGGAGUAUAUGCUAGUGGAAAAUAAGCUUGUAUAAUGUAUAUACAUGCUGUAUAAGGAAUCCUACACUAUUUUUUAAACUCUUAAAUAAAAAUCCCUGAUUGGCAACCACUGUUAUACAUGUAAUUGCCGCUUUAGAAACCUAUUUAUAGUAUACAUCAAAAAGAAGAGAAAUGCUCUCUUCAGUUGGACUAUACCUACAGCAAAUUUAUUUUGCUUUCUAAGCAAUGGUUUGUAGUCCCUAUAAAAUCAAUCAAAUGUAUUGGUACAAUUGUAUGCCAGGCGCGGAUCCAGAGGGGGGGGUUCCGGGGGUUGGAACCCCCCUUUUUUUUGGACGAUCAAUGCAUUUGAAUUGGGACAUGUAAUUGGAACACCCCCUUUGUCCUGGGUUAGGAACCCCCCCUUUUUAAAAGGGCUAGAUCCGCUCAUGUAUGCAACACAAGUAUUACAAUGUAUGAGUACAGAAAAAAAUGUAAACUCAGUGUUGAAAGUAAUUAUGAUGUAAAACAUGAACUUUACUAAAAAGUAGUUGUUGUUUAAUGACUAAAUUGAGGGUAUUGGGACAGUUACAGAGGGUGUUUGCUGUUUGUCACCAAAAACAACAGCCAUGGGUAAAUAUAAGGGCUUAAUUUUGUUAUAAUUAAAAUGCGUGUUUGUCGACUUUUUUCUCAAUAUACGGUCAUAAAUCAAACAAGUUCGAGCUUGUGUCAAUUUCUUUAAUCCAGUCAUGUUUUUUGUACCAAUUUGUUCUACAAUUCUUGCGCUUUGGAUAUCAUUCACAGUCCAAAUUUCCUGACACAAAGUCAUUGUAUUUAUAUAUAUAAACAAAGUAAAAAACACGGUUUACGGUGACUACCGCAAUUCGCGUUCAAGGACAAGGCUCUUUACUCGUAACUGGAAUAUGUCAUGCCCUUCUCGUUAUCAAUCUCUAUUCUCGGUAGAUGAUGUUGUCAUCAUAGAGCAGCAGAAUAUGUCGACUUAAUCAUUUUCGUUAUAUUACUCGAAGAAAUACAAAAACAAAAUUUGAAACAGGAAGUUUUGAAUGAAACGAAAUUAUCGAUGGUUCCUGGUAACGGACAUGAACAAAAUCCGAAAAUCGUAUUUUUGUUAAAUAAAAAAAAUCGGGGCGGGACGAUUUCAGAGGGGCGGGCGGGGAUGAAAAUCAAGCAAUUAAUUUUAAUUGGCCUUAUAUAAACUGUCACGCGACUGUAGUAGAUAGCAGAAUGAGCUAGAUACCUCAAUUUUAGAUAAUUCAUCGAUCUUGAAUAAAACAAGAUAUCAGUAAGGGAGCUACCAUUUAAUUUUUAUGGGGGGGGGGGGGGCUAGGAUGAAAUUUGAAAAAAAAUAGGCAGGACAGAAGUUUUGAGUAAAAAAAAGGCAGGAUGAGACACUUGCAAAAAAAAAAAAAGUCAGGACGACAAUUUAGGUAAAAAAAGUCAGGAUAAACUAAAAAAAAAAAGGCAGGACCGAACAGAGUGAAAAAUAAAAAGGCAGGACAGAGAUUACAGCUAAAAAAAAUUGCAGGACAAAAUUUUUCCUCCUAGCCCCCCCCCCCC
RNAcentral lists this long non-coding RNA (7993 nucleotides) under Mytilus galloprovincialis (Mediterranean mussel). Lineage: Eukaryota; Metazoa; Mollusca; Bivalvia; Mytilida; Mytilidae. The record is from RNAcentral.